This 440-nucleotide ribosomal RNA is filed under the name uncultured bacterium. Its description in RNAcentral is "partial 16S ribosomal RNA". It matches the Rfam family "Bacterial small subunit ribosomal RNA", at positions 339 to 795 of the family's 1533-position model. The record is from RNAcentral.
CUACGGGAUGCUCCAGUGAGGAAUAUUGCACAAUGGGGGGAACCCUGAUGCAGCAACGCCGCGUGGAGGAUGACGCAUUUCGGUGUGUAAACUCCUUUUAUAUGCCAAGAAAAUGACGGUAGCAUAUGAAUAAGCACCGGCUAACUCCGUGCCAGCAGCCGCGGUAACUACGGAGGGUGCAAGCGUUACUCGGAAUCACUGGGCGUAAAGGACGCGUAGGCGGGUUGGAAAGUCAGGUGUGAAAUCCUACAGCUUAACUGUAGAACUGCACUUGAAACUUCUAAUCUAGAGUAUGGGAGGGGGAGAUGGAAUUAGUGGUGUAGGGGUAAAAUCCGUAGAUAUCACUAGGAAUACCUAAAGCGAAGGCGAUCUCCUGGAACAUUACUGACGCUAAGGCGUGAAAGCGUGGGGAGCAAACAGGAUUAGAUACCCUAGUAGUC